UAAUACGGAGGAUGCGAGCGUUAUCCGGAUUUAUUGGGUUUAAAGGGUGCGUAGGCGGCUUUGUAAGUCAGCGGUGAAAUUUUGCAGCUUAACUGUAAAAGCGCCGUUGAUACUGUGAAGCUAGGAUUUGGUUGCUGUGGGCGGAAUGUGUGGUGUAGCGGUGAAAUGCAUAGAGAUCACACAGAAUAUCGAUUGCGAAGGCAGCUCACAAAGCCAAUAUUGACGCUGAGGCACGAAAGUGUGGGGAUCAAACAGG
RNAcentral lists this ribosomal RNA (256 nucleotides) under uncultured bacterium. RNAcentral's name for it is "partial 16S ribosomal RNA". It matches the Rfam family "Bacterial small subunit ribosomal RNA", at positions 521 to 776 of the family's 1533-position model. The record is from RNAcentral.